GCCUCCUUAGCUCAGUUGGUAGUAGCGCCGCCAUGGUAAGGCGGAGGUCUCCGGUUCGAGUCCGGAAGGAGGCU
This 74-nucleotide transfer RNA is filed under the name Gammaproteobacteria bacterium. RNAcentral describes it as "tRNA-Thr". It matches the Rfam family "tRNA". From Rfam's summary of the family: Transfer RNA (tRNA) molecules are approximately 80 nucleotides in length. RNAcentral also lists the same sequence under 5 other names. The record is from RNAcentral. Lineage: Bacteria; Pseudomonadati; Pseudomonadota; Gammaproteobacteria.